This 468-nucleotide ribosomal RNA is filed under the name uncultured Fusibacter sp. RNAcentral's name for it is "bacterial SSU rRNA". It matches the Rfam family "Bacterial small subunit ribosomal RNA", at positions 916 to 1382 of the family's 1533-position model. Lineage: Bacteria; Bacillati; Bacillota; Clostridia; Eubacteriales; Fusibacteraceae. The record is from RNAcentral.
GGGGCCCGCACAAGCGGUGGAGCAUGUGGUUUAAUUCGACGAUACGCGAAGAACCUACCCGGGUUUUGACAUUGUAUCGAAGCAUCCAGAGAUGGAUGUGCUCUUUCGGAGACGGUAUGACAGGUGCUGCAUGGCUGUCGUCAGCUCGUGCCGUGAGGUGUUGGGUUAAGUCCCGCAACGAGCGCAACCCUUGUGUUUAGUUGCAAACAGGUCAAGCUGUGCACUCUAGACAGACUGCCGUGGACAACACGGAGGAAGGUGGGGAUGACGUCAAAUCAUCAUGCCCCUUAUGAUCUGGGCUACACACGUGCUACAAUGGUCGGUACAACGGGCAGCGAAGGAGCGAUCCGGAGCGAAUCCUAAAAAGCCGGUCCCAGUUCGGAUUGCAGGCUGAAACUCGCCUACAUGAAGUUGGAGUUGCUAGUAAUCGCGAAUCAGAAUGUCGCGGUGAAUGCGUUCCCGGGUCUU